UGUUUUUUGUCUUUCAGAGCCCCCCCCCCCAAUUUUUUUAAAGCAAAGACUUCUCACAGCAUCUAUCCAUCUGGGAAGAAAGUAUGAUAUUACUGAAAGAUGAUGAGAAAAAAUCAGCAUCUGUCAUUCAAAACAGGAACACCAGCCAAGACUACUGCCUUAAGACACUUUUCAGAAUUCCCAAAUUUCUCUGCACUGCCAUAUCCACCAUCUAAUUCUACCAUUAAAUUUUAAAAUUACCGUUUCUCACUUGGAAAACAAGAACAUCUGGUCUUCUACUGAGAUCAUUGUAAAGGACUUGCUGGGAUGAUCAUUUGAUGGAGCUGACCCACCAACUACUAACUUUGCAAAUAAAUUUUUAACAAAACCUCUUGCACUUCUCAAUUUUACUCCCAACUCCUGUGGCAUACUAGGUGUCAUAAUUUCUCAUCCCCAUUUGGUUUUGUGGAUUGAGCUGCUUUCUAUUUUUUCUUCCACUAACCUAGGAACUCAGAUUUAUGAAGUUUGUUGAGACAGUUCUCACUUUUUCUCUGCUAUUAUCCUUUCUACUACUCAGUUUGCUUCAGAAUACAAUCCAUACAAUAAAUGCAUGAAUCUUAGGUCUUCAGUGAGUAUCCAAAAUGAGUACAAUCAUGCAGUCAUCACCCAAAAAUGAUGUAGGAUGAUUCAGCAACCACCCUGUAAUAUUCUCUCCUCCUUGGACUUCCUAGUCAGUCCCCACUCCCCAUUAGAAGCAACCACUGGCUAGCUUCUAUGACUGCAGAUCAGUUUG
This 772-nucleotide long non-coding RNA is filed under the name Marmota monax (woodchuck). The record is from RNAcentral. Lineage: Eukaryota; Metazoa; Chordata; Mammalia; Rodentia; Sciuridae.